UCUAAGUACAUACUAAAAUAAAGUUAAACCGCAUAAGGCUCAUUAUAUCAGUUAUGGUUUUUUAGAUCGUAUUCACAGUUACUUGGAUAACUGUGGUAAUUCUAGAGCUAAUACAUGCAUUUAAUGGGAUCCUAACAGAUCCUUGCUUUUAUUAGAUAAAAACCAAUGGGGCAACUUCGGUUGCUCAUACACAUGGUUGAACUCUGGAUAAUUUGUUGAUCGCAUGGUCUCGUACCGGCGACGGAUCUUUCAAAUGUCUGCCCUAUCAACUAUUGAAGGUAGUGUCUUGGACUACCUUGGUUGCAACGGGUAACGGGGAAUCAGGGUUCGAUUCCGGAGAGGGAGCCUGAGAAACGGCUACCACAUCUAAGGAAGGCAGCAGGCGCGUAAAUUACCCACUCCCGGCACGGGGAGGUAGUGACGAAAAAUAACAAUACAAGACUCACAUCUGAGGCCUUGUAAUUGGAAUGAGUACACUUUAAAUCCUUUAACAAGGAUCAAUUGGAGGGCAAGUCUGGUGCCAG
Molecule: ribosomal RNA, 524 nt
Filed under: Insecta environmental sample
Lineage: Eukaryota; Metazoa; Arthropoda; Insecta
Description: SSU rRNA
Rfam family: Eukaryotic small subunit ribosomal RNA
Source: RNAcentral